Molecule: unclassified non-coding RNA, 299 nt
Filed under: Hevea brasiliensis (rubber tree)
Lineage: Eukaryota; Viridiplantae; Streptophyta; Magnoliopsida; Malpighiales; Euphorbiaceae
Source: RNAcentral
GGGAUAUCACUUAUUAACAAGCUGUCAACCAGAUGAGAUAUCAAAAUCACCGAGGAUAAGAUCUAUGGAUGUGACAUCCCCGGAUUUGACUUAAUUGAACACUCCCUACCCCCACUGCCCUCUGGGCAGGUCAACAAUGUUUUAUCAAAAUUUUUUCUUUCUUUAUCCCUGAAUUUCAGGUGCAAACUUCAAGCCAGGUAGAGAGGGGAAAGAGUUGAGAGGAAAUUGGGAAGGGGAAGAGAGGGAUGGAAGAUGGAGCCCAAUGAAAUUGAGGGGGGUACUAAUGGUGACGUAUGCAA